RNAcentral lists this long non-coding RNA (525 nucleotides) under Dermacentor andersoni. Its description in RNAcentral is "uncharacterized LOC126527323". The record is from RNAcentral. Lineage: Eukaryota; Metazoa; Arthropoda; Arachnida; Ixodida; Ixodidae.
ACCCUCACGCACGCGCGCGAUUCAUCGCAGACGUGGGCUACAAAGCGUAUCCGCCUGCCUCGGAGCAGUCCCUGUCGCUGAGCUUCGAGCUGCUGCCGCAGAGGUUGAAGCGCCUCGGAUACAGCACGCACCUCGUGGGCAAGUGGCACCUGGGAUACUCGAGCGCCGAAUACACGCCGACUUGGCGAGGCUUCGACACGUUCUUCGGCUACUACAACUUCGGAGGCUUCUACUUCAACCACAGCGUUGCAUGGCAAGGGCACUGCGGCGUUGACCUCUGGCACAACGUUGGCCAUUCUAUACGACCCGUGACCGACCUGAAUGGCGUCUACUCCACCCACGCGUUCACUCAUCGGGCCACGCAGAUUAUUGCCGAGCACGACGUUCAAAAGCCGCUGUUCCUGUACGUGAGUCACGAGGCCGUGCACGCCACCUGCGACAACUGCACCGCGGAGGCGCCCCAGGAGAACGUGGACAAGUUCGCCUACAUCGCGCAACGCAACCGCACCCUGUUGGCCGGUGAGA